UAUUUUCAUCUUCAUCUAUUCUUUUAAUGGUUCCAUCAAUUUAGGUAAAUGUGCCCUCGAUAUUGGAAUCGAUCUUAGAUUCCAAGGUACAUGCAGUACAGUGAAGAUAACCAUAGGUGUUAUAAUAUUUAGAUCCACACAUCCAAUUUCAUGAGAUUCGAAGGCAAAUGAUCUACCUUGUUUAGCCAACAUCUUUUUGAAGCAAGUAAUUUCCUUCGACAAUAAAGAACCAUCAGAAUCAAUCUUCAAUUCUUCAAAGUCUCUUUAGUAAAUUGAUGUCUAAUAUUCAUUGGAUCUCUUAAACUUGCUUCUUUUGAUGCUUCUCCCAUUUGUUCUUUAGAAUCUUCUGGUAAUGGUCCUACAACAGGCUUUAUCUUCUUAUCUGGCGUUUUAAAUCUGGUCUCUAUAGUGACUUCUGGUGCUUGAAAAGAUUCAAGUAUGGUAUAAACCUCUCUUGAAUGGAUCUCAACAAUCUUAU
Molecule: long non-coding RNA, 478 nt
Filed under: Physcomitrium patens
Lineage: Eukaryota; Viridiplantae; Streptophyta; Bryopsida; Funariales; Funariaceae
Description: long non-coding RNA (PPAT_LNC001930)
Source: RNAcentral